UACGGAGGAUCCGAGCGUUAUCCGGAUUUAUUGGGUUUAAAGGGUGCGUAGGCGGUUUGAUAAGUUAGAGGUGAAAUGUCGGGGCUCAACCCCGAAACUGCCUCUAAUACUGUUGGACUAGAGAAUAGUUGCGGUAGGCGGAAUGUAUGGUGUAGCGGUGAAAUGCUUAGAGAUCAUACAGAACACCGAUUGCGAAGGCAGCUUACCAAACUAUAUCUGACGUUGAGGCACGAAAGCGUGGGUAGCAAAUAGG
RNAcentral lists this ribosomal RNA (253 nucleotides) under uncultured bacterium. Its description in RNAcentral is "partial 16S ribosomal RNA". It matches the Rfam family "Bacterial small subunit ribosomal RNA", at positions 524 to 776 of the family's 1533-position model. The record is from RNAcentral.